RNAcentral lists this ribosomal RNA (624 nucleotides) under Russula pascua. Its description in RNAcentral is "eukaryotic LSU rRNA". The stretch from base 145 to 298 matches the Rfam family "5.8S ribosomal RNA". Lineage: Eukaryota; Fungi; Basidiomycota; Agaricomycetes; Russulales; Russulaceae. The record is from RNAcentral.
GUCGUGCACGCCCGAGCGCUCUCACACAAUCCAUCUCACCUUUGUGCAUCACCACGUGGGUCCCCUUUGCGGGAGGGCUUGCGUUUUCACAUAAAACUCGAUACAGUGUAGAAUGUUUCUUUUGCGGUCACACGCAAUCAAUACAACUUUCAACAACGGAUCUCUUGGCUCUCGCAUCGAUGAAGGACGCAGCGAAAUGCGAUACGUAAUGUGAAUUGCAGAAUUCAGUGAAUCAUCGAAUCUUUGAACGCACCUUGCGCCCCUUGGCAUUCCGAGGGGCACACCCGUUUGAGUGUCGUGAAAUCUUCAAAACCCUUUUUUCUUUGAACCAUCGUGGUCGGGAAAAGGAUUUUUGGACUUGGAGGUUUAAUGCUCGCCCUUUCUUUCGAAAGCGAGCUCCUCUCAAAUGAAUCAGUGGGGUCCGCUUUGCUGAUCCUUGACGUGAUAAAAUGUUUCUACGUUUUGGGUUUAGCACUGUCCCUUGGACGCCUGCUCCUAACUGUCUCGUUGACAAUGAUGGUGCUCCGGUCACCGCCGUCUACAUCGGCGGGAGGCUGGACCCACGAAAAGAAAACCUUGACCUCAAAUCGGGUGAGCUACCCGCUGAACUUAAGCAUAUCAAUA